RNAcentral lists this long non-coding RNA (236 nucleotides) under Homo sapiens (human). RNAcentral describes it as "HSALNT0136049". The record is from RNAcentral. Lineage: Eukaryota; Metazoa; Chordata; Mammalia; Primates; Hominidae.
AGAGGAAACAUGGAGAAGUUACAGCUGGAAGUUUGUCCAUCAGAGGCUCCUGAUCUAAUGCACCUGAGAAGCUUUGGGGAAGGUGAGGCUUCACCUCAGCACUUUUAUUUCCAGGGAUGGGACUCACUACCUACCACCCUCCUCCAUCUGACUAGUCCCUAUAGGAGUGCCUUUUGGAAACCCCUUCCCCAACCCCAAAUUGCAAACUGAACAAUACAUAUUGCCUUGCUUCACAA